UUCAUGUUUCGGUGCAUCGUAUAUUUCUCAUAAUUGUGAGAUUGUGUAUGUCUUUAACCAAUUAUUUUUCUACUUAGCCUUUUUAAAAAUAUCUAAUUAUUGAGAUAUUGUUUCUGUCAGCACAAAUAGUCGUGAUGGCCAGUGGUAGCACAACACGUGUGACCGAUGUGUUAGAGUAUCUAGUACACCACAUUUUUAGAAUAUAAGUAUUCUGAGAUGCUUGUCUGUUAACCUGAAAUCAACUCGAAGACCCGGUAUCCUGAGACUUUUUGAAAGCGUUCUAAGUAGUGUCAGAGAAGGACUUAAUCUCCCUGGAAACCGUUUCGUAGCUAUCCUUUUGUUCCUGGUAACGCCAUUCAAAGUGACACAACCUAUAACCUAUAAAUAGAGACUUGUGCCAUGUGCCAGUCCCUCCACAUUGUCUAAGUAAGACUCCCUGGAUUCCAAUUCUCUUUGAGAUUGAAGUACAUCUUAUUGCUACUACUUUUACUGUGCAACUCUUUUGGACCAUCAACACAGUUAAGCCAAGAGUCGGCAAGUGACGACCAAAGAAGGGCCCUUCUUGGCGGGCUGUGGCGAGCGGUCAGCGUUUUGCGUGUGGGAGGAGCUUCGUGCGCCGAAGCAGCGAUGCAAGAGGAGGAGGAUAGCUCUUCGUAGAGAAGAGGGAGAGCUGCACAAAAGAGUUUGCCAAAGUUCAGCGCGGACCAAAAACGACCCAUAAAAAGAAGAGUGGGUGAGUGGUUGGGUUGGCGAGGUGCCUCGUGCGGCCAGUGUUGUGCUCGUACUCGUCACGUCGCGGUCAAGGAACCUUAUAAGGGGGGAGCCUGAAAUACUGUGCAUUCGUCGCUCACUUCUUAAACGGCUAGAAGUAAGAAGUCCGUCUGUUCCGAAAUUCUGUCGUUUGCUCAGUUGUCAGUGGUUGAAGAAAACCGUUCUUCUAACCAGACAGUUGAAAAAAAAUGUUACAAAUGUUCUGUAAUGAUUUACUUUGAUACUGGCACAUUUAAUGUAAGUUAAUUCUACAGACCAAAACUUUGAUUCAGCAUUCCGUAAAAGCGCAUACGCUUACUGUUAUUACCCUAGU
This is a long non-coding RNA of Frankliniella occidentalis (western flower thrips), 1084 nucleotides long. RefSeq lists it as uncharacterized. The transcript has 3 exons. The record is from RefSeq and is a predicted model, not a curated record. Lineage: Eukaryota; Metazoa; Arthropoda; Insecta; Thysanoptera; Thripidae.